Molecule: RNA transcript, 6911 nt
Organism: Gallus gallus (chicken)
Lineage: Eukaryota; Metazoa; Chordata; Aves; Galliformes; Phasianidae
Gene: KSR1
Gene name: kinase suppressor of ras 1
Exons: 19
Source: RefSeq, a predicted model, not a curated record
AGAAUACCAGAGGAGCUAACCUUAGAUGCCUUACUUGAAAUGAAUGAAUCAAAGGUGAAAGAAACGAUGAAGAGAUGUGGUGCCAGAGAUGAGGAGUGCUCCAGACUCAAUGGGGCACUGAGCUGUUUAAGGAAGGUGACUGAAUCAGGUGGGGAGUUAAAAGAUGAUGUGCUGACGAAUCUUUCUGAAGUACGCCGAGAGAACAGCUCUACAAACAUGACUGAGUCCCCCUGCUCCUCUGCACCCACAUGGACUCACAGUGCACUGAGCCUUCCCAAGGGCAACAGCCAGCAGGCGCGAUCGGUGUCAGUGUCUACAAUCCCAUCUUCAGAUUCUCUUGCCUCGAGUCACGGACCUUCUAUCUAUGCAGAUAACCUCCUGGACCCUUUUGCCUUCCCUGCACACAGUGGAAGGUUAACACCAAGGACUCCUCAUAGCAUCACCGUCACUCCCCCAACCACUCCUCAAGCCAAGAGACGGCACAAGUUGAAGCCACCACGGACUCCUCCUCCCCCUUGCCGGAAAGUUUUUCAGCUGCUACCUAAUUUUCCAACCCUUACAAGGAGCAAGUCCCAUGAAUCGCAGCUGGGAAACAGGAUAGAUGAUGUUCCUCCAAUAAAGUUUGAACUCUCCCAAGGAUCCCCUCAAAUGGUACGAAGAGACUUUGGCUUAGCUGUAACACACAGGUUCUCUACAAAGUCUUGGUUAUCUCAGAUCUGCCAAGUUUGUCAGAAAAGUAUGAUGUUUGGGGUGAAGUGUAAGUACUGCAGAUUGAAAUGUCACAACAAGUGUACUAAAGAGGCACCUGCUUGCAGAAUAUCAUUCCUUCCCAUUACCAAAAUAAGGAGAACAGAGUCUGUCCCUUCUGAUAUCAACAAUCCAGUAGACAGACCAACAGAACCGCAGUUUGGAACUCUUCCCAAAGCACUCACUAAAAAGGAGCACCCACCAGCAAUAAACCAUCUGGACUCCAGCAGUAAUCCCUCUUCUACAACUUCUUCCACGCCAUCUUCUCCAGCACCUUUCCAGUCUUCCAACCCUCCCAGUGCAACACCUCCCCCAAACCUAUCUCCUAUGGGCCAGAGGGACGGACGAUUUAACUUCCCAGCUGCCUACUAUAUUCAGCAUAGACAACAGUUUAUCUUCCCAGAAAUUCCCAGUCCUGCACAAAUAGCACAGCCUCCAGAAACCGCUGCAGACACUGAUGCUAAAGAACAGACAGUUACAGAUGGAGUUAAACAUGAAGCAGAGGUGGAAGAACCUGAGAGUAAUAAAUCAGAACCUGAAGAUGAUGAGGAUGAAGUGGAAGAUUUGCCAAACAGAAGGCCGCACUUGCAAGGGAUGAUUUAUCGCAAACCCAGCCAGACCAGCGUCUACCUGCAGGAAUGGGACAUUCCCUUUGAACAGAUUGAACUGGGGGAUCCCAUUGGCCAAGGACGAUGGGGGAAGGUUCACAAGGGAAAAUGGCAUGGGGAAGUGGCCAUCAGGCUGCUGGAGAUAGAUGGGAACAAUCAGGAUCAUCUCAAGCUCUUUAAAAAGGAGGUGAUGAAUUACAGACAGACCCGGCAUGAGAACGUGGUGCUUUUCAUGGGAGCAUGCAUGAACCCUCCUCAUUUAGCAAUCAUUACUAGCUUCUGCAAAGGAAGGACACUUUAUUCAUUUGUAAGGGACCCCAAGAUAUCCCUGGAUAUUAACAAAACCAGGCAGAUAGCACAGGAGAUCAUUAAGGGCAUGGGCUAUCUUCAUGCAAAGGGGAUUGUACACAAGGAUCUGAAAUCCAAGAAUGUUUUUUAUGACAAUGGGAAAGUAGUGAUCACUGACUUUGGACUAUUUGGAAUUUCGGGUGUGGUUCAGGAAGGAAGGAGGGAGAAUGAAUUGAAGCUGCCUCAUGACUGGUUAUGCUACCUGGCCCCUGAAAUUGUUCGUGAGAUGGCCCCUGGGAAAGAUGAAGACAAGCUGCCUUUCUCCAAAGCUGCAGAUAUCUAUGCCUUUGGGACUGUGUGGUAUGAGCUCCAAGCAAGAGAAUGGCCCUUCAAGAACCAGCCUGCCGAGGCACUCAUCUGGCAAAUUGGAAGUGGUGAAGGAGUGAAACAAAUCCUUGCAACUAUUAGUUUGGGGAAAGAAAUCAAUGAAAUUCUCUCAGCAUGCUGGUCAUUUGAUCUUAGUGAGAGACCUAGCUUCACUGUCCUCAUGGAUAUGCUUGAAAAACUGCCAAAACUGAAUCGUCGGCUCUCCCACCCAGGGCACUUCUGGAAGUCUGCUGAGCCUAAAGCUUUGUAAACUUAAACCUGUCUUUUCUGCACACUGGGAGUCAGAGAGCAAGCGAUGCUGUCCUUAGAGCAGUGAGAAGGAUGUCAGUACCAAAGGCAGGUACAGAAUCUGGUCCAGCGUGAUAAGCUGCAGAGUGCAAUGAUCAGUGAGGGUCUCUUAUUCUUGGAUUUGAAAGGUUGUAGCUACUGGUGCAAUAAUGGGGUCCACCUUGCAUGCUUCCAUGUGUUGUAUCCUAACCAGCAACUUGGACAAUCACCUUCCAUUCAAAAAAAUGAAAACAAACCACGAAAUUAACCCACGGACAUAAUCAACAUUAUAUCUGAAUUCUCCUUUUCUGCCUUUUUCUGCUUGGCAUGGGCUGUUAGCUUGAAUAACAACUCCGGCCUACAAGAAGUUACUGUCUAACAACGCAGCACCUCUCCGUUCUGAGUCACAGCAGCAGGCUGCAGCUUCCUCCUGGCAGGCAGCUGGUGCUCUGCCCUGACCAACCAGGCAUUGGGGUUUGGCUGACACUGGCAUUUGUGGCCUGCAAGCCUCAGGAGGCAGAAGGGAGAAGUUUCCUAGCUGCUGUCUGAGGUGGUGGCUUUUGACUCAAGAUAACAGGUACAUUUUCCACAGGCAGAGCCAGCAACUGAACACUUCACUUGCAUUGCAAACCAACGCGACUUAAGGGCCAGAUUGAGUCAGUUCUCCUGUAGGGCCAGAUCCAGCCCUGCAUUGAACCAAGGGUCAGCUUUGUCAGGGGUGUACACAGCAGGUACAGUUCUUGCAUAGAAAGGAGGAUAGCCCUCGCUGUGCUCAGGGCAGAUUGCAGUCCCCUAGCCUACCUGGGAAUGCACCACCACCAGCUGCAUCCAAAACUGGGAUCAGCUACAGCACUGUGCAGAAGAGGAGGAAAGCAGAGAAACCCUUCAGUUCCUCAUUCUCCUUCACUUGCAAAUCCAGCGUUUUGAGUUCUGUGAUUUGCUUUUGUUUACAUUCCUAGUUCAGCAAAAUGCUCGACUUUGCAGUAGGAACUUUGCAGAACUGUAGGCAGCACUGCAAACAUGUGCCUUUUUGUAAAAGGUCUUUUUUCAUUCCUUUUUUGAAGAAAAUUUGAGGGAGAGAGGACGAGGACAGAGGCAGAUAUGCAGCAGGAGCCAGGGAGGUUCUUACUGCGUUCAGUGAGGACAAAUACACCUACAUGUCAUUUUCUCAGAAAGUCAGAGCCCUGCAUGCUGCACUGGAAAGAGUCUGCUGGAAGCCCUCACGUACUCAUGCUCCCUGCCUUGUUGCCACCUAGCACAUACGUGUAGGAAGGCAUUUUGAAGUGAAAAUGUUUCUAGCUACACUAACAGAUUAAGGGUGAAAGAAAAGACAUCUUUAUUCACUUUCUAUACGCUAUAAAGAGAAGCAGAUGUGUUUUUUGAAGCAAUUGCUGUACUUUGUCAGAAUGCCCCUUAUCCUUAGAAAAGUAUUUUUUUUCUCCAUUUCUAUUUCAAGGAAACCAAACAUCUGUCAGUCUUCUACCCACCUUAGGCUAGGUACUUUUAAAGCCUCCUGUUUUGCCAAUUUGAGCCAUAUGCUUUCAGUAAUGAGGUUAGCAUAAAUAAAUCAAAUGUUUGCUGCUUAAUUUUUAAAUGCUGCUGGGUGAUCUCACACCGCAUGAAACCAGAACCCAACCCAUUUUCUAUGACUGUAGCUUUGUAGGGGAGAAAAAAAAAACAACCACAAUGAAAAACCAACAGUAAAUAAAUAAUUCUUUUCCCCUCCCUUCUCCUUUCCUUCCCCACUCUUUUCAGCAUUAACAGUAGCAAAGUUGUCCUGCGCUUUGAGAGAUUUGGCUUGGGAAUCCUGGAACCAAGUAAUCAAAAGAUAUAGCAUGGUGUGUAGUUGUCUUGUGAUAAUAUCUACCUACUUACACACACAAAGAAAUCUUCACUGAAUCUUCCAAGCUAUGAAACUGGUGCAGCCACAGCUGAAAGCCACACGACCGUCAAUUCACAGUCCUUUGUUGUUCACAGUGUGAAUUCUGCCUGAGCACCAGCAGUUAUUUAAAGAAUGUUUACAUGAUAACUUUUGUGUGAACUAUAUUUUUUAAAAACAUAAUAAACAGUGAGUCAAUUUAACUACAGCUGUUCAACUAGCACAAAGAGAAACCAACCUUUUUCUAGUUCCUUUCUGUGUCUGUGGUUCAAAUAGGAACGAUCUUCUGCCUUCAGUGCAGCUUUCCCUAAGACAAGUGGAACUGCUUUGUUUCAGAAUGGUUAUGUAUCUCAUACAAGGAGAUGGGAUCUUUAAAUUGUUUUUCUCUCGUUAAGGUAAAUUUUAUCUACUGCAUUGUGAUUUAUCCAAACUGAUAAUUCACUUAUCACAAAACACUCUGGUUUGUUUCUGCAGGGUUGGUCCAAGCUCUGGGUUACCUUGAAUUAAGUUAUAGUAGUAAAAAUCUGCUUCUUACUGGAAUGUUUGCUGUCAAACAUACAGUUAUUUCAAUUGAAACACAGAACCGAGCACUUCAACACAGAACUCACAAGAAAAGCUCAACUGCCAUGCACCAGAAUCUCAGGUUGGUUGAGGUGGGAACGAACCUCUGGGUCCAUCCACUUCCAGCCAUGCUCAGGCAGGGCCACCCCGGCAGGCUGCCCCUGGAGAAGGUGAGCUCCUGGGCACCUUCAGGCACAACCCAUUUAGUCCCCUGAACCAGCAGCACUGCCAGAUCUCACCCCUUGCUGCACUGAUCUCCAUCUUGUUUGUAGAAGAACGCAUUUUACUAGAUAGAGCUCCAGGGAGCGAUGAAAAAUCAAGGGAAAAAGCCAUCCUUCAACAAUGUGUUACAUACUGUUCUGAUAAACAGAGCCUUUGAAGAGAUUCAUUCUCUCCCCUGUGCACGCAUACACUCCCCUGGACAGUCAGAUAAGUCUGCAAGAAUUUAAGAAAUUUAGGACUAAGCAGUAGCUCUGAGGAAAACUAAGAACAAAAAAACCCGUGCAGCUAGGAAAGUUACGGUUUGUUCCAGAGAACCUGACUCAAUCCAACAGCUCAGACCUGUUUCAAAGGUUAAGUUUAAGACCAAGAAAAAAACCCAGCCCCCAGAAAUCAAAAGGAAACCACAUGCUACAAUGUGUAAUAUGCAGACUGAUAAAGGACACAGCUGAUUACUGCAUUUAAGGUGACAGAUGCAUUAUCUCACUCACAAAUGAAUUGCAAGCUGCAUUAAAUGUUCCCUCACACCUCCCGUUCUUAUUCCUCUGCCUUUGCCUGUCAGCCAGGGCCGCAGGACAACUCUAAUUACACAGCGAACAUUAAAGAGCCCUUCUGUCCUUGCGCUGCUUCAUUUUUGAGGUAGUUCAUUAGGACUGCCUGGAAGUCAUCAAAUUCCAUUCCUCCAGUCACACUAGUACAUUACAUGCCUCUUUUAUAUCUUUUGCCACCAUUACAAGGCUUUAAAAUGUGGAUCACAGAGGGAAGAGCUCUGAAGUCCUCCACAAGGCACACAAAGUGACAGGCACUCAGUUUGGUUGCAGGCAGCUGACUUGGAGAAAAUCAAGUGGAGGGAAAAAAAAAGUUCUGUUGAGCAGAGGGCUUCUCUCCUACUCCUACACUGUGCUAUGGUGAUUUUAAAAUGUGUCUGAAAUAUAAAACAAAAUUGGUUUGGUGGUAGCCAAGCAUGGACACAUGGUUCUCUUGACCUCCCUCUCACCACCUCAGUACAGCAAAUAGGCCCCUCGGCACACACUGCAAAUACAACAAAAUAAAAUUAAAAACCAAAAAAUGUUCUCCCUAUGCAACUGCCCUCACAUGAGGUCCAAACCCUAGCUGUGAAGGCUGUUUGCAGGCAGAAUGCUGUGCUGGCCCUGCUUCCCAGCAAGGCAGCUUUACCUGUGUCAGCAGGGCCACCUGUCCCUUUGUGCUGCACUUCGCAGUGUGCUAAAAGCAGAUGGGGCUGACCUAUGAGCACUGCAGGCUGACGGAAUGCUAUCCUGCUGCAGGAAGGGUUUCAAAGCUUGCCUUUAAACCAUAAAGUUUGAGAUUCAGUCUCAGCCUUCCUUGGUUUUGUGUUUAAAUCCCAUAAAUGGCACGUAAAAGCAAAACCCAGCGUACCAGAGAGCAGGGCCAAUUGCUGUCUGGAUAAUGUGUUGCAGUCAGCUGUGUAAGGCAUGGAAAUCAAACAGAACCUGCUGAGCUGUACAGCUGUGAAUGAAGUCGGGUCUCCCACCCCUCUGUCCCAGCUGAGCAGCAGGCAUUGGGUCACACUGCUUUAUGGCCACGUCUGCUGUCUCCUCGUGUGCUGGUGUGAGGCGUGAAGUGCAGUAAGCCUGUCCUGUUGUAGAGGUGUAAAUGUGAAGCUGGCUGUACAGUGCUGCUACAAUAGCCACACAUCAAUAGUGAAUGUAAAUGGAGUAUGUAAUAUGGUGAAAAUUGACACGUUUUUCUUUUCAAAUGUGUUGUAAACUUUGUACAGUAAAAAUUUUUUUUAAAUAUUUUCUAUCAGAGUGUCUUCCAGAAUUCCUAUUAAAUUAAUUAAAGAUUGUUAGUAUUAACAACUGUUUCUGUAUUAGUUUAUGCAACCAGCAAGGAAAAAAAAAGUGCACAUUAUGCUAAUGAAAUCCUGGAUACAUAGGAAUCUUUUCAGCAAAUAAAUCUUUGCUCUGAAUAAA